Equus asinus (donkey) is the source of this 102-nucleotide small nuclear RNA. The record is from Ensembl. NCBI's taxonomy places the organism in Eukaryota, Metazoa, Chordata, Mammalia, Perissodactyla, Equidae.
GGUGACAUGUGACUGUAUCCGAAAACUGGAACAAUAUAGAGAAAAUUAGCAUGCCCCUUGUGCAAGGAUGACAUGCAAAUUCAUGAAUCGUUCCAUAUUUUU